CACAUAUAAUGCCUCUAAGUUGCUAAGAGUUAUAUGUCAUGAUGAGUUCGCAUAAAAGUCACUUGGCGUUACUUAGAUAUGUUUACUGUUAUAGCAUGUUUGCUGAUUACUUAUAAUCUAUGUUUUGCAGUGGAGGUGUGGCCUGAAGGUUGAAUAUAAUCAAUAUUAUGUGUGGUUUUAGAUAAAGAAUAUAAUCAGUAUUAUGUGUGGUUUUGGAUAAAGAAAUGUAACAUGUAUAAAUAGGUCUGAAAAUGUUAAAAAGGCAUGCACGAUUUUGGUGGGACUACCCCUGUGCCACCCAGCGCUGAAUAAACAUACCUACUUUACAAUCUAAUCAUUGUGAAGUCUGUUUUCUUCACAUCAGUUUUGGCAAGCCAGCCAGGAGGACUCUCUGCUCGACUGCAAAACCGGCUGUGGAACAGACGCUCUUGAGUGCGCCCUGAGCAACUUCCUCGGUGGAGCCUCUGCUGCUGGCCAAUUACUGUGGGAACAGACAAAGAUCUCCUGAAACUGCGGAAUAAAACGGAAAAUCCUAAGAGUGGAAUAAAGACACAGCUCACUUGGAUGAUGUUGCCGCAAGGAUUCAAGAACAGUCCCACUAUUUUUGGCAAUCAACUUGCAAAGGACUUAAAAUCCUGGGAAACCCCAACCAAAGAGGGAAAAUUGUCGCAGUAUGUGGACGAUAUCCUAAUCGCUACCAAGACAGAAGAAGAAUGUAUGAUGUGGACAGUGAAUUUACUAAAUUUCUUGGGACUCCAGGGGUAUCAGGUAUCUAAGAAGAAAGCACAGAUAAUACAGUACAAAGUAAAUUAUUUGGGAUAUGAAAUUAGUGCAGGACAACGAACUUUGGGGCAAGCCCGUAAAGAAGCAAUUUGCCAGAUUCGGAAACCACAGACAGUAAAAGAAUUGAGAACCCUUCUGGGAAUGAUGGGGUGGUGCAGGUUGUGGAUCUAUAACUAUGGAUUACUCGUUAAACGACUGUAUGCCCUAACUGCCACUGAGCAGAAACAUCUUGAAUGGAACAAGGAAACUGAACGAGCCUUUGAAUCACUGAAAAAGGCAUUGAUGUCAGCUCCGGCUUUGGGACUCCCAGAUGUAAGCUGUUUCUUCUUUUCUCUUAUGAGAAGCAGGGCAUUCCCCUAGGAAUAUUAGCACAAAAUCUAGGCCCAUACCGAUGAGCAGUUGCUUAUCUUUCUAAACAGUUAGAUACAACUGCCAAAGGUUGGCCUGGAUGCCUGCAGGCAGUUGCAGCAGCGAUAUUAAACAUCCAGGAAGCCCGAAAUUUUACUCUAGGGCAAAAGAUUUGGUUUCGCAUACAGUAUCAGCAGUAUUGAAGGCAAAAGGUGGACAUUGGCUUUUUCCGCAAAGAUUCUUGAGAUAUCAAGCUACAUUAGUAGAACAGGAUGAUGUGGAAAUUGUGGUCACUAAUAUUGUCAACCCAGACUCUUUUCUCAGCGGAAAUAUAGGAGAACCGGUACACCACAACUGCCUAGAAACCAUUGAAGCAACAUAUGCAAGCCAUCCAGAUCUGAAGGACAGCCCUAUUGAAAAGGAGGAAAACUGGUUCACAGACAGAAGCAGCUAUGUGCUAAACGGUAACCGACACACGGGAUACGCUGUCACUACCAGUGAAGAGGUAAUAGAAUUGUGAGCUUUGCCUACGAACACUUCUGUUGAUGCAGAAGGCUUGGACACAACUUAUACGACCAAUGUGAUCAGGUUCCGCCUGCCUCUGACCUCCAGCUCCCUAAUCAGACAACUUCCCUUCAGGUCCGAUGCACAGAGACUUCUGCAUUUAAGUGAACCGCAUUUAAGCAACUUAAUGGGUCCCUGUUUGGACGCCAGUUGGAUUUGGAAAAAGGGAAUGAGUUGGCCGACAGAGAGGCAAAACAAGUGGCCAAAAUAAAGUCUCUUACAGAAAAGACUUUGUAACCACAGUGGGAAGGACCGUUUCAAGUACUUCUGACCACCUUUACUGCCAUCAAGAUCAAGGAACAACACUCUUGGAUCCACCACACGGGUGAAGAAAGCACCAAGUAAACGGACAAGUGAAUCAGAUGGAAAAUUGAAGAUACGAAUAAGAGGACAACAAUUAUGAAAAAUAUUGGAAUAAUUGUAGAAAGUAUGUGCUUGGUAUUGGUGGAUGCAUGGCUUGAGGUCUGGACCCCUCAUAUAAAAUACAAGGUUGAGGAAGGGCAAACAGUUGCACUAAUGAAAUGUUCUCAACUAUGCUUAAAGAGAAGAAAAGCCCUUAGAAAAGGGCAUGAGAAAAAGAAAAGGGGGGAGUUGAGCCAAGGCAUCCUAGCCUGAUAAGCAAGCACAUACUUAAUCAAUACUGCACAUAUAAUGCCUCUAAGUUGCUAAGAGUUAUAUGUCAUGAUGAGUUCGCAUAAAAGUCACUUGGCGUUACUUAGAUAUGUUUACUGUUAUAGCAUGUUUGCUGAUUAUAAUCUAUGUUUUGCAGUGGAGGUGUGGCCUGAAGGUUGAAUAUAAUCAAUAUUAUGUGUGGUUUUAGAUAAAGGAUAUAAUCAGUAUUAUGUGUGGUUUUGGAUAAAGAAAUGUAACAUGUAUAAAUAGGUCUGAAAAUGUUAAAAAGGCAUGCACGAUUUUGGUGGGACUACCCCUGUGCCACCCAGCGCUGAAUAAACAUACCUACUUUACAAUCUAA
Molecule: long non-coding RNA, 2668 nt
Organism: Falco peregrinus (peregrine falcon)
Lineage: Eukaryota; Metazoa; Chordata; Aves; Falconiformes; Falconidae
Exons: 4
Source: RefSeq, a predicted model, not a curated record